UGGGGGAUAUUGCACAAUGGGCGAAAGCCUGAUGCAGCAACGCCGCGUGAGGGAAGACGGUCUUCGGAUUGUAAACCUUUAGCUUUGGGGAAGAAACAAAUGACGGUACCCAAAGGGGCAGCCACGGCUAACUACGUGCCAGCAGCCGCGGUAAUACGUAGGUGGCAAGCGUUGUCCGGAAUUACUGGGUGUAAAGGGUGCGUAGGCGGGUAUCCAAGUCAAAUGUGAAAUCUAUGGGCUCAACCCAUAGACUGCGUUUGAAACUGGGUAUCUUGAGUGAAGUAGAGGCAGGCGGAAUUCCGAGUGUAGCGGUGAAAUGCGUAGAUAGUCGGAGGAACACCAGUGGCGAAGGCGGCCUGCUGGGCUUUUACUGACGCUGAUGCACGAAAGCAUGGGGAGCAAACA
RNAcentral lists this ribosomal RNA (405 nucleotides) under uncultured prokaryote. Its description in RNAcentral is "bacterial SSU rRNA". It matches the Rfam family "Bacterial small subunit ribosomal RNA", at positions 355 to 774 of the family's 1533-position model. The record is from RNAcentral.